This 87-nucleotide microRNA precursor is filed under the name Paramuricea clavata. The record is from RNAcentral. Lineage: Eukaryota; Metazoa; Cnidaria; Anthozoa; Malacalcyonacea; Plexauridae.
CUCCCCCCCUUAAUUUAGCGAGUGCGAAUACAAAUUUACAUUCGCAGUCGCUAAAUUUGCAUUCGCACUCGCUAAAUUAAGGGGGGG